AUUGAACGCUGGCGGCAUGCCUAACACAUGCAAGUCGAACGGAAACGAUGGGAGCUUGCUCCCAGGCGUCGAGUGGCGGACGGGUGAGUAAUACUUAGGAAUCUGCCCAUUAGUGGGGGACAACUAGAAGAAAUUCUAGCUAAUACCGCAUACGCCCUACGGGGGAAAGCGGGGGAUCUUCGGACCUCGCGCUAUUGGAUGAGCCUAAGUCGGAUUAGCUUGUUGGUGAGGUAAAGGCUCACCAAGGCGACGAUCCGUAGCUGGUCUGAGAGGACGAUCAGCCACACUGGGACUGAGACACGGCCCAGACUCCUACGGGAGGCAGCAGUGGGGAAUAUUGGACAAUGGGCGCAAGCCUGAUCCAGCAAUGCCGCGUGUGUGAAGAAGGCCUGCGGGUUGUAAAGCACUUUCAGUAGAGAAGAAAGCUUACGGUUAAUACCCGUGGGUCUUGACGUUACCUACAGAAGAAGCUCCGGCUAACUCCGUG
This 487-nucleotide ribosomal RNA is filed under the name uncultured bacterium. Its description in RNAcentral is "bacterial SSU rRNA". It matches the Rfam family "Bacterial small subunit ribosomal RNA", at positions 30 to 507 of the family's 1533-position model. The record is from RNAcentral.